RNAcentral lists this ribosomal RNA (253 nucleotides) under uncultured bacterium. Its description in RNAcentral is "partial 16S ribosomal RNA". It matches the Rfam family "Archaeal small subunit ribosomal RNA", at positions 474 to 727 of the family's 1478-position model. The record is from RNAcentral.
UACCAGCACCCCGAGUGGUCGGGACGUUUAUUGGGCCUAAAGCAUCCGUAGCCGGUCCUACAAGUCUUCCGUUAAAUCCAGCUGCUUAACAGAUGGGCUGCGGAAGAUACUAUGGAGCUAGGAGGCGGGAGAGGCAAGCGGUACUCGAUGGGUAGGGGUAAAAUCCGUUGAUCCAUUGAAGACCACCAGUGGCGAAGGCGGCUUGCCAGAACGCGCUCGACGGUGAGGGAUGAAAGCUGGGGGAGCAAACCGG